GCGGCAAACGGGGUAGUAAUGCGUCGGAACAAACCCUCAGAUCGAGGAUAGCCACGGGAAACUGUGGGUAAUACACGAUAAUCUCUUAGGAGCAAAGGUUUACUGUCUGGGGACUGGCUGACGUGGUAUUAGGUAGUUGGUGGGGUAAUGGCCUACCAAGCCGACGAUGCCUAGGGGGUGUGGGAGCAUGGCCCCCACCAUUGGGACUGAGACACUGCCCAGACACCUACGGGUGGCUGCAGUCGAGAAUCUUCGGCAAUGGGCGAAAGCCUGACCGAGCGACGCCGCGUGCGGGAUGAAGGCCCUUGGGUUGUAAACCGCUGUCAGGGGGGAUCAAGGCGUAAGCUUGAGAGAGCCCCAGAGGAAGCACGGGCUAAGUUCGUGCCAGCAGCCGCGGUAAUACGAACUGUGCGAACGUUAUUCGGAAUCACUGGGCUUAAAGGGUGCGUAGGCGGCGAAUCAAGUCUGUUGUGAAAUCUCUCGGCUCAACCGGGAAAGUGCAGUGGAAACUGAUUUGCUAGAGUAAGACAGGGGUGUAUGGAACUUCCAGUGGAGCGGUGAAAUGUGUUGAUAUUGGAAGGAACACCGGUGGCGAAAGCGAUACACUGGGUCUUAACUGACGCUGAGGCACGAAAGCCAGGGGAGCGAACGGGAUUAGAUACCCCGGUAGUCCUG
This 675-nucleotide ribosomal RNA is filed under the name uncultured Planctomycetaceae bacterium. Its description in RNAcentral is "bacterial SSU rRNA". It matches the Rfam family "Bacterial small subunit ribosomal RNA", at positions 95 to 798 of the family's 1533-position model. The record is from RNAcentral. Lineage: Bacteria; Pseudomonadati; Planctomycetota; Planctomycetia; Planctomycetales; Planctomycetaceae.